Molecule: ribosomal RNA, 465 nt
Filed under: Vreelandella stevensii
Lineage: Bacteria; Pseudomonadati; Pseudomonadota; Gammaproteobacteria; Oceanospirillales; Halomonadaceae
Description: partial 16S ribosomal RNA
Rfam family: Bacterial small subunit ribosomal RNA
Source: RNAcentral
CCUACGGGCGGCUGCAGUGGGGAAUAUUGGACAAUGGGCGAAAGCCUGAUCCAGCCAUGCCGCGUGUGUGAAGAAGGCCUUCGGGUUGUAAAGCACUUUCAGUGGGGAAGAAAGCCUUGGGGCUAAUACCCUCGAGGAAGGACAUCACCCACAGAAGAAGCACCGGCUAACUCCGUGCCAGCAGCCGCGGUAAUACGGAGGGUGCGAGCGUUAAUCGGAAUUACUGGGCGUAAAGCGCGCGUAGGCGGUCUGAUAAGCCGGUUGUGAAAGCCCCGGGCUCAACCUGGGAACGGCAUCCGGAACUGCCAGGCUAGAGUGCAGGAGAGGAAGGUAGAAUUCCCGGUGUAGCGGUGAAAUGCGUAGAGAUCGGGAGGAAUACCAGUGGCGAAGGCGGCCUUCUGGACUGACACUGACGCUGAGGUGCGAAAGCGUGGGUAGCAAACAGGAUUAGAUACCCUAGUAGUC